AGUGAGCAUUAGGGAUACACAACAAAAAUGAAAAAAAGGAAUUGAAAGAAAAGACCACUAAAGGCAGAGGGAAUAUUCCCAAGUGAUGACCCUGUUUCACGUUGAAACAUUUGACAGUCUCAAGGAGUGACUUACAGUGGAGCAUUAAGGCUUUGACAAUAAUGUAAAUUAAAAAAUACUAUCUCAAACGAUGAAAGAGAGAAAGAAAGAAAAUUAAAGAAGUAAAGAAAGGAAGAAAAAGAGAAAGAAAGAAGGAAAAGUUGAAGAACAGAACUGUGUCUAUUGUCCUUUCAUCACACUUAACAACAGAGAUGUAUUCAAGUUACUUUGUUUGGCAGGAAAUGAGCUCACUUUUCCCUCUGCUGAAGAAAGCAAUUUGUGAAUCAUAUCCAGUUUGAGAAAAGAAUCACCUUAUUUCAAAAGAUAAAUCAUGUGAUAUUGUUAUGCUGAAUGAAUAAAAAGCAUGGAUUGAGAAUAGAUUAGAUGAAUGCAUUAUAAAGACAUCAAAGUAAACUGAUCUGAUGAUGGUACUGUGAAAGGACUGAAAUUUAAAGAUAUUUCAUUGCUAUCAAAGACCAUGGGAAACUAAUGAACAAAUGCUGAUUUCCUAUUACAGACUUUCUUGAAAUCCGAGAUUUAACAUGGGACUUAUUUUAGAAAGACUUAUCUUUAUUACCUUUAUUGUAUAUGGAUAAUGUUACCAGCUAAAUGAUUUUUACUAGUAAGAUUUGUCUUAAAAACUCACCAUACCCAUUUAGAGAUUAAAUAAAAUGUAUUCUACUUUUAAUACAUAAGCAUUA
Molecule: non-coding RNA, 800 nt
Organism: Oryctolagus cuniculus (rabbit)
Lineage: Eukaryota; Metazoa; Chordata; Mammalia; Lagomorpha; Leporidae
Source: RefSeq, a predicted model, not a curated record